CCUACGGGAGGCAGCAGUAAGGAAUAUUGGUCAAUGGACGGAAGUCUGAACCAGCCAUGCCGCGUGCAGGAAGACGGCCCUACUGGUUGUAAACUGCUUUUGCAGGGGAAUAAACCUCAUUACGUGUAAUGAGCUGAAUGUACUCUGAGAAUAAGGAUCGGCUAACUCCGUGCCAGCAGCCGCGGUAAUACGGAGGAUCCAAGCGUUAUCCGGAUUUAUUGGGUUUAAAGGGUGCGUAGGUGGCCUGUUAAGUCAGGGGUGAAAGACGGUAGCUUAACUAUCGCAGUGCCCUUGAUACUGAUGGGCUUGAAUGAACUAGAGGUAGGCGGAAUGUGACAAGUAGCGGUGAAAUGCAUAGAUAUGUCACAGAACACCAAUUGCGAAGGCAGCUUACUAUGGUUUUAUUGACACUGAGGCACGAAAGCGUGGGGGUCAAACAGGAUUAGAUACCCUGGUAGUCCACGCCCUAAACGAUGAAUACUCGAUGUUGGCGAUAUACGGUCAGCGUCUAAGCUAAAGCGUUAAGUAUUCCACCUGGGGAGUACGCCCGCAAGGGUGAAACGUCAAAUGAAUUGACGG
RNAcentral lists this ribosomal RNA (579 nucleotides) under uncultured bacterium. RNAcentral's name for it is "bacterial SSU rRNA". It matches the Rfam family "Bacterial small subunit ribosomal RNA", at positions 338 to 916 of the family's 1533-position model. The record is from RNAcentral.